Molecule: microRNA, 21 nt
Filed under: Oreochromis niloticus (Nile tilapia)
Lineage: Eukaryota; Metazoa; Chordata; Actinopteri; Cichliformes; Cichlidae
Description: oni-miR-10921
Source: miRBase by way of RNAcentral
UCCAGGGACUGCCUGCAUACU